Molecule: long non-coding RNA, 5830 nt
Filed under: Homo sapiens (human)
Lineage: Eukaryota; Metazoa; Chordata; Mammalia; Primates; Hominidae
Description: HSALNT0021635
Source: RNAcentral
ACAGCUUCGGGACGACUGGAUCGCCGCGCCUGGGCCGGAGCGAGCCAUCUGCGGGCACUAUGCAAAGCGGGAGACGGCGCGAGCGGCGCCCGGCUCACACUAGCUCUUCCAGGACGCAGGUGUUCUAACCGGGAUGUGACAGUUGAGGCUGGGAGCAGAAAUAAUCAACAUGCCCAUUAGAUACAGGACGGAAUAAUGCUUCUAUUGGUUGGGUCCCUUCGAGAGAGAACCAUUCUCUGCUUUCAAUAGGACAGAAGAGCUCCUUGGCACUGGAUGCCUCCGGGUCUGGUUGAGAGAGGAAUGGUUAGGAGACUGUUCUGAGGAUACGCAGACAUCAUCCAAAGCUUCCUACAUUCAGAUGAGGACAGAGGUUGGGCCAGAGCUUUGUAAGCUUGUUACCUAAGGAUGGUUCUGACCAUGUAAGCAGAUCACAGAAGCUAUUCACAGAUCAUCAUCAGCCAGAGGUGACUUCUGUUGCUUGCAGCUCAGAAUCCUAGAUGUUUCCGGUGGCACUGAAGAGCCUCUGCUGAAGCUCUAUACCAUUUGCCAUUUACAAAGGGAAAUGAAAUAAUAACGCUGACCAUUUGUGGAGCACAUUCUGUCUGGAGGCAAAGGAUGCCAAGAUGGGAAAGCCACAUAAUGGAAGGAUCCUGGAUUUCAGAGCUGUCACUUGGAGGAGGGGCACCCAGUGAAGGUGUCUUAUCUAACCCACACCAUAUCUUCAUGAAGUGGCCAUAUGGAUUUGAUCCCUAUCCUUCAGAGGUGCUCAGCCUAAGGGAACACGGAUAGUAGAUUAAGCACUGACCAGGUGAAAAAGAUUGAUCAUCAGAUGUUUCUUAUGUAUCAACCUGAUAUUUAAAUCCAUGAAGGACAGAGACGACAAAGGCAGGUGGAAUAGAUAGAGAAGAGAUUCAAGGUCUGAGCUCUACAUUACUCAAACUGUUAGAGAUUAGGAAGAAGAGGAAGACCUGGCAAAAGAAUGUCCUGGGAUGUAGAAAGAAAACCAGAAGCUUGUGUUCUCUGGAAACCAAAUGAAGAAAGGGCUUCCAGAAGGACAGACAAAGUGUAGUGUGUCAAAGGCUCCUGAGCAAUCAGAGGAGAGCACAAAGGGGCUCACAGGACUUUGGUAUCUGGAUCACCCAGUGACACUUCCUGAUCACGAGAAACUGUCAGACCAACAGGGGCACUUUCUGAAACCAGCAGUUCUUCAGUGCCCAAAUGCAACCUUGAUGGUUUGAUUUUGGAGGAUGGCAAUUCAUUAACAGCACUCCCCAGUGAUAAAUAUGAAAACCAAUAAAACCCCCCACCCAAGGCAAUCUCUCCCAGCUCCUCGCUUUGAGUAAAGAGAAACCAGGAGAAGGCAGUCCUAGGGCAGUCUCCGGGCCAGCUUUCCCUAAUAAGAAGGCAGAGCUCCUCUUCACCCAGACUUCAGACCUAUAGAGGCAGCCUGGGGUCCCGGGAUGCCCUUGCACUCAGAGAUGUCCCCAGAGUCCUAGGGAAAUGGAGGAUAACUAGGAGGAAGCUGUUCAUGGCUGGCGAUGAGGUCUAUACCUUCUUGUCCGUCUCAGUGCUGUCUGCUAUUGAAUUUUUGUGCAGAUCACAUUAACUUAAAGCCAGUUCUCAAGAAGCUCCCCCUGCCGCCGGCAUAUCCACCAGUUGCUCCCCUUUCCUGCCAUUAAUCAGGGUCUGCUAGUUAGAGAACAAAUUCCUAUUUGUCCAAACAGUUGCCAACACCCCCACCCCAAGGUAGUUAAAUGAGGAUGAAUGGGUCAUUCUUAUUAAAAAAUGACUUAAAUUUCUCAAAUUCUAUUUAUGUUUCUUUUACAUCCCAAUUUUCUAUAGAUUUAGUGACUCCAAAUGAUAAGGUCUCAAGCUCAUAAUAAUUUAUCCCUUGGGUAACACACAAGGCUUGGUGGUAUUUCAGUAAUAUUCAUGACAACAGCAGCUGUCGUGCUAAUAAGGACUGAUGUCACCAGAGCACUUUCUAUGUGCCAAGCAUGGUGCACAACACUUUACAUACAUUAUGUCAUUUAAUUUUCACAAAACCUCACAGAGGUAAAUAUUAUUAUCUUCCUCUGCAUAUAAGGAAAUGAAUGUUCGGAAAGAUUAAGUCAACUCACUGAGGUCCCAUCAGUGCUCUUUCAUAUGCCUCUGUUGCAGUCUCAUUGAACUGCUGAAAUCAGAAAAACCUGGAGACCUUGUUAACCUUCAGAUUCCUGGGCCCCAUCUUAGAUGCAGGGAGUCAGACUUCCUGGGAGUGUGGCCCUGGAAUUUUCAUUUGUAAACACAUUCCCCAAGAGACCUGUAUGCACACUAAAGUGGGAGAAUUCACGAUCUCUGGCUUUUGUGAUGUUUUAAACGCACUAUAUAAUUUCAGUAGCAAAAGAAUUGGGCUUUGGGAAGGGAGUGUGUGGUGAACCCUGAAAGCUGAAUGGACUUCCUUCCUGUGGAGGAGCAGUGGGAGAAACUGGAGGCAGAGAGCUGUGUUUCAUUCCUUGAUUGAGCCUUUGUGAGUUAUUUAAUCUCUUUCAGUCUCUAUUUUUUUCAUUUGUAAACCAGGAAGGAUACUUGUAUUUUCCAGGUGGUUGUGAGGUGUGAAAGAGAUGAGAGUAGAACAAAAUUUUAAAAGUUGAAAGCACUCAACAAAUGUAUUUGGUAUUAAUCAUGGGUUUCCCUGGGGCCGAGGAAGCCACCAGCCACCGCAGGCCUGUACACAAUGCCAGCCACCAUGUAUGGAUACGGAGGAGGCAAAAGGACUAGCGAACACUCCCAGGGACUGGAUGUCUUGAAUAUCUGUCCAACUUUCUUGGGAGGGGCCAUUUCUUCUGUAACUCAAAGGAAUUUAUUAUUUUUCAGCCAGGGAGGCAUGCUUUCUAUCUACUGCUAGUACUCCCAGACCAAGCUGUUUCAGUGGGACUGAGGUGUGACUUCUGCCUCGGUUUCAUCCAUCUGUGCAGGGAAGAGAAAAAUGCCUGCACCUCCACGGUCACACCCUCUGUUGGAACCACCUCCUUAAGCCAGAAUUAUUGAAUGUUCUCUAUGUGCCAGAAUUAUUAUUAUCUCAUUUGAUUCUCACAACAAUGCCAUGAAGUCUAUACAGACAUACCUUGGAAAUACAGCGGGUUUGGUUCCAGACCACCGCAAUAAAGCUAAUACCGCAAUAAAAUGGGUCACACGAAUUUUUUGGAUUAGGCUUCGGCUUAAGGGAAUGUUGUGGCUGGUUUGAUGUUUUAUCCAGACCGCUAACACUUUCUCCCUAUCAGCAAUGAGGCUGUUUUGCUUUCUUAUCAUUCCUGUGUUCACUGGAGUAGCACUUUUAAUUUCCUUCAAGAACUUUUCCUUUGCAUUCAUAACUUGGCUAACUGUUUGGCACAAGAGGCCUGCCUAGCUUUUGGCCUAUCUAAGCUUUUGACUUGCCUUCCUCACUGAGCUUAAUCAUCUCUAGCCUUGGAUUUAACGUGGAAAAUGUGUGACCCUUCCUUUCACUUGAACACUUGGAAGCUAUUGUAGGGUUAUUAACUGGCCUAAUUCAAUAUUAUUGUGUCUCAGGGAACAGGGAGGCCCAGAGAGAGAGAGACGGGAAAACAGAAAGUCAGUGGGGCAGGCAGAACACACACGUUUAUUUAUUAAGUUUGCUGUCAUAUGUUGGUGCAGUUCAUGCUGCCCCAAAACAAUUACAAUAACAAGAUCAAAGAUUCCUGGUCAUAGAUUGCCAUAACAGAUACAGUAAUCACGAAAAAGUUUGAGAUAUUGUGAGAAUUACGCAGAUAUUGUGAGAAAUAUGACCCAGAGACAAGAAGCGAGCACAUGCCGUUAGAAAAAUGGCACCAACAGACUUGCUUGCUGCAGGGUUACACAUACCUUCAAUUUGUAAAAAAAAAAAACUGUAAUAUCUGCAAAACGCAAUAAAGAAAAGUGUAAUAAAAUGCAGUCUGCCUGAACUUCAAUUAUUCCCAUUUUAUAGAAGAGGAAAUAGAUGCAGGGAGUUUGAUCUGCCUGAACUAGUAAAUGGUAGAACUCUGGGACUAACAUUCCUAUCCUCUAUGCUACAUUCCUAGGAAAGAACGCUCAGACAGGGUUGGACUGAGAGUGUGUUAAGCUUUGCACUGUUUUGAGCCCUCUGAAGGAGUGUCCGUAUUUGAAAGCUGGCCUCCUUCCUUUCACUGGCCCUCCACAGUGUGGCCUAAGUUAUUCAAUUAGGAAGGGAAAUAAUUGGCAGUGGAGAAUGCCUCUAGCAGUGGUAAUUACCUCCAGUGCCUUGUAGGAAUAGUCAAGCUACAUUUCAGUUUAUGCUGUAAAACCUUAAUUAUAAUAUAAACAGCUGCCCUUCAGCCCAGUGGGGCAGCCUUCCCCCGCCUUCCUUCUCUGGCCUCUGAAUGGCCCUGCCUCCUGAAUGGUCAGGGAGGUCCAGGGACGGAAGGAGACCUGGGAGGAGGGGAGCCGAUGACUAUGCGUGCGUUGGGGUUUGGAAGACUAAGCUGGAGGGAGCCACUGCCAGGGUCCCAUCUUCAAGUGAUGAAGCCAAAGGCAGCAUCCCCAUUCUUGGUACCACUCACACUGAGUCUCUUGGGGGAGCAGCCUCCAGCCAUUAGCAGUCAGCCCAGUGCCAUUAGGCUAGGAUAGGGUUUAGCAGGCUAUGGUAUCAUUUCAGGGUAACAUCUCUUUCUAUUUACUCCCCUAUAAGGGAGAACAGAGUCUUCCCUUCUAGAUCCAGACUUCCUGGCCAUGUAGGAGCCCUGUUGAGUGCCUGGUGCACUCUAGGUAGUAUGCGAGGCAUGGUUGCAAGGGUUCCCCAUUUCAACUUCACAGCACUUGGAUACACAGAAAAUUAACAUCCUCAUUUGACUAUUGAGGAAAAUGAGACUUUGAAAGUUUAAACGGAGAUAAGGCUUGGGAGGCAGACAGCCCUGUAAGUGACUUAAGUUCAGGAAGGAGAAGGACACUCAAUAUUUUUGUUCAGAGCACUGGGAAGGAGAGAGAGGGAUCAGUCACCAUCGGGCAUUUGAGAAGGUCCAGGAACAGGGGGCUGGUGAGCAGAGGGGGGAAUAACACCAGAGGGGCUGAAAUUGCUGAUUGCUGGGUUCACAGAUCUACCCACGAGCGGCCCAGGUACCCCAUGAGCGGCUGCUCUGUGUCAUCUGACCACUGGAUUGUAACCUGGGCUGAAAGAAUCAGAAGUCAGUGUGGCGAGGCAGGAGUCCUCAGAUGGUCAGAGCUGACUCUUCAACUCUUAAGGGCAAAAUGGAAAAUGUGAGCUUGUUGGUGGUCUUCGAAACACAGUAAGCAAUCCAUGCCCCUGAAGAGCAGGGAUAAUUAUAGGCAUGCCCUUGUUUUAUUGUGCUUUGCAGAUAUUGCAUGUUUUUACAAAUUGAAGAUUUAUGGCAACUCUGCAUACAGCAAAUCUAUUGAUGCCAUCUUUUUCCAAUAUCACAUGCUCACUCUGUGUCUCUGUCUCACAUUUUGGUAGUUCUCCCAAUAUUUCACACCUUAUUAUUAUUAUUAUAUCUGUUAUGAUGAUCUGUGGUCAGGGAUCUUUGAGGUUACUAUUGUAGUUGUUUUGAGGUGCCAUGAACUGCACCCAUGUAAGACAGCGAACAUAAUCAAUAAAUGUUGUGUGUUCUGACUGCUCCACCAACCGACUGUUUCCCUGUCUCUUUCUCUCUCCUCUGGCUCCCUAUUCCCUGAGGCACAAUCAUAUUGAAAUUAGGCCAAAUAAUAACCCUACAAUGGCUUCUAAAGGUUCAAGUAAAAGGAAGAGUCACAUCUCUUACUCUAAAUCAAAAGCUAGAAAUGAUUAAGCUUAGUGAGGAAGGCAUGUGGAAAGCUGAGA